Molecule: long non-coding RNA, 2266 nt
Organism: Dreissena polymorpha
Lineage: Eukaryota; Metazoa; Mollusca; Bivalvia; Myida; Dreissenidae
Exons: 3
Source: RefSeq, a predicted model, not a curated record
AUAAAUAUAAUAUGCUAAGGGUUAUGUGCAUGUAUUGUAAUUUGUGAUUUCAUAAACAAUAAACAGAUUGUCAUUUCUCAGUAAUGAUAUUCAAUUUAAGGUCACAAAGAGAAGAAUUGUUAUCAGUGAUGUGUAUUAUUCCAUAAAUAUUUUGGUGUUGAAAUUUGCCUUUAUCAGUAGAUAUAUCUCAAGCUGACACAACAGAUAAAAGAUCAGCUCUCCCCCAAUUAAAUCAAAUAUGCAUCAUAAACACUAAUCUCUUAUCAGUGAUGCAGCAAUGCCUAACAAAGGGGUGCAUAUCAUCUGCAUACUUUUGAUUGGUUGAUAGUUUUUGUUUUGAAAACAAGCCACUUUUGAUUGGUUUAGGGCACAGGAAGUAAAUUUGUUUAAACAAGCAGGUGUCAGCAACUGAUAAUGAGCUACAUUUUUAGACAUGAUUUAGCAAAUUAAGAUUUUAAAUUGUACUUGUAGUGUCAAAUGUCUUGAAAUACUGUCAGCAUGAAGUAUUGUGUGAUGAAAACAAAGUGUAUUUACUACAAUGUAGUAAAUCAAAGGAGGUCCAAAGUGGCUGGAUACUGAAGAACAGUUGUAACAGGUAAAACUCUUGCCCCAAGGAAAGAAUGUGCAUUAUCACCUGCUAAAAUAGGAAGAAACAGGGGGAUACUGACUGAUGUAUGGACUUUAACACCAGGUUUUUACCCUUCAAGAGUUGGCCAACUAGAGUGAAGCAGGAGAGUGGGCUGUGCUUGACUAAGAAAAGCUGGAUUUGUUGAGAGAUCAAUACGCAUUCAAGAUCCUUAAGAAGAGAAGGACACAAGCAACAUCAGUGGUAGAUGUCACUCCAGCCCCUGCUUUUCCGGUCUCGCCUGCUGCUUUCCAGGUCCCUCCAGCUGCCAAGAUCAGGUCUAGGCACUGGCUGCCAUCCAGGUCCCCCUGGCGGUUGCGGUCGUGUUCUCAAAUGGCUGCUGUACUGGACUACUGGUCCCACCACCAUAUUUGGUCAAGGUCUCUCCAAAUGCUGAAGUCCAGGUUCCUCCGGCCACUGCGGUUCAGGUACCCCCAACAGCUGUGACCUAGUUCUCUGCAGCAGCUGCGAUCUAAAUAUAUUGACCCACUGCGGAACACUGCGGUUAAUCGUUUUUUCCAUACAAUCUUCCACAAAUGCCUCAUUUUAUAAUGAAGUGUACAAUUCUUAUGUUCAUAUUUGUUUGUGUUAUAAAGAUGAUUUUCCUGCACAUUGUGUUUUUUUCCCUUAAAACUGCAUGGGGCUAUUACUUUUUUUACUGAAACAUAUCAGCACAAAAUUGUAAAAGACUUUAACAUACUUUAAUACAAAAAAGUGUUUAAACCCACAGGAAACCACCUUGCCAAAAACCCACAAAAACUUACUGAGCAGGUUAUUGUUUGCCAAAACCUAGCGAGUGUGCGUUUCAUUGUCCAUAUGCUUAUAAAUUUAAUAAUUAGAAUGAAUUAUCUUUAAUGUAUUUUUUUUAGAUAUAUAAACUCAAGAAACUUACAUAAUUUUUGCGCCACAUUACAAGUUUAUUUGAAUUUGUGUCACUCCUAAGAUUUUCCCACGGCCUCCGAAUGUCUCUCUUACCCUCUGAAAGUGUUUGUGUUUAGAAAUUAUUUAUAACGUUAUUUUUAAUAAAUAAAUCUAUUUCAGACUAUAAAAUACUGUUCUAGCUGUUGAUAUGUCCCCUUUAUAGUUAAAACUGAGAUAACUUGUGAGUAAAUAGUUGUAAAUGGUUGUAUAUAUUUCCAAGUUUGGAAAGUUAUGUAGAUCUCAAAUGUGCUUUCAUGUCCAUAGUGCUUAUAUAUUUAAUAAUAAGAACGAAUUAUCUUUGAUGUCAUUUUAGGUUUUUUCAUAUAAACUCGAAAAACUUACAUAAUUUGUGCGCCACAUUACAAGUUUGGCAAGAAAAAAUCUUUAACAAUAUUAAAAACCAUGUGAGGAUUGAGAAAGAUUUAAAAAAAACUAUUUUGCUAUUUGACAAUUUGGUAAGCCUACAUGUAUGUCUUUGUCUUUCAACAUAUUUUAUUUGCCAUUGUUAUUUAUUGUGAUAUUGUUUGAAAAAAUUGUAUAUUGACAUGUUUUUUUUCAAUGCAUUCUUUGUAUGGAACAAUGUAAACCAAAAAGUAUAGGGACAGGGGGAAGCAGUUGCAGAGGAAAGCGGAAAAGCUUUUAAGCACCCAUAGAAUGGCCUUAACUACUUGUUUAUUUUAAAAUGAUUUAUGUGAAUAAAUGUGUUUAUUUCAAAGUUUA